RNAcentral lists this long non-coding RNA (6386 nucleotides) under Sus scrofa (pig). RNAcentral's name for it is "lncRNA (ENSSSCG00000054370.1)". The record is from RNAcentral. Lineage: Eukaryota; Metazoa; Chordata; Mammalia; Artiodactyla; Suidae.
GCACCUGUGGCACAUGGAGAUUCCCAGGCUAGGGGUCUAAUUGGAGCUGUAGCCGCUGGCCUACACCACAGCCACAGCCACAGCAAUGUGGGAUCCAAGCUGUGUCUUCGACCUACACCAUAGUUCACGGCAAUGCUGGAUCCUUAACCCACCUGAGCAAGGCCAGGAAUUGAUCCUGCAUCCUCAUGGAUACUAGUCAGAUUCAGUUCUGCUAAGUCAUGAUGGGAACUCCUCAAUAUCUUUUUGAUUGAAAACUUUUGAUAGGUGGUUCAAGUACAAAAUCUCUCUGAGCAGCAAAUUAGAAACAGUCACAAGUGCCUUUUGCAGAUAACCACUCCCACCUCAGAUGACAUCUAUUAUGUUGCUGCCAACACAGCCCUGGCCUAGUAAGAACAGGCCAUUUCCUACAUCCUGCAUUUGAGGGAUUCAGAGAACAGUCCACCCCAGAGAAAAAGUGUAGUUCUUCAUUCAUCCCAGAAAUCCGCACACUGCUGGGGCAGCCAGGCAUUUUCAGGGAGGAAGAACACACUCCAGCUUUUCAGAUCAGGGCCAUCAGUGAAAAGAAUAGGGAUGAGGCCUCACAGAAAGUCUCACAAGAGACUGUAGUGUCACCAGGAAAUGCCAUGUGCAAGCCUUCUCUCAGGGAAAAAGUCCAGUGACCUAAGUGAUCCCAACAGAAGUAAGGAUAGGCAAGAAUCUUGUGAAAAAAGGAAAAAUAGCUUGACUGAGCCAAAAUACAAUUUAUCCAUUUUUUCACAAUGCUUAGUUUUUAUUAGUAUUACUGGUAUGCAUGUAUGUGUUCAACUGACCCUACCACAAUUGUACACAAGUACACACAGAGUUGGAGGUACACCAUGGGUACUUUUCUCUCAGUCCCAGUCCCUGAUGGAUAGGUUCAUGUAGCUGGUACUCAAUAAAAUUUGGAAAUAUUCCUCCAAUUUUAUUCUCUAAAAUAGAUUGAAAGCUCCUUGAUGGACAAUAUAGUUUCACACUAUAUCAAGGUCUCCUAAAAAUUUAUAAGAAAAAGACAAAUAACUAAAAACAAACAGGCAAAGAAUAUGGGCCACUUCACAGAAGAGGAAAUUAGCAAAGAUGUGAAAAGAUGCUCAACCUCACUGAUAACUGGAAAAAUGCAAGGCAAAACGAGAUAUUGUUUUUGACUCAUAUUGGCAAAAGAGCGUUAUUAUUAAGAUAUUUUUCCACACUACUUGUGAAAGUACAAGUUGGUUGGCUACUUUAGAGGCUAUUUGCCAAUAUCUGGCUGCGUCCUGAAUUUGAGGAAUUCAGGGAACUGUGCUGGAGCCAGUUCAUACCAGCUUGCCAGAGCCAAUUGUGAUUAUCUCCUCUUAACUCCAAGUUCGGUAAUGCCACAUUAGUAGUUUGAAAUUGGCUAUGGUGGGAGAACUCACACGAUGGAAAUAGAAUAAAUGCUACAAAUCAGUCUCUAACCCCCCUUUUUGGGAGACUAGUUGUUAAACAUUUAUCAUACCCGACAGUCUAUUUGUCAGUGUCUAGAAUCUAAAAAGCAUAUAACCCAUGAUACAGCAAUUCCUGUUUCCAAAAAUAUAUUUGCACAUGUAUACAGUGAGGCACAUGCAAGGAUGUUCACUGCAGUAUUGUUUGCAAUGGGGAAAAACUGGGAAUAACCUAAAAACACAUUGAUAGGGAUUUAAAAAACACACACACACCAGGAGUCCCCAUUGUGGUUCAGCAGAAACGAAUCUGACUAGUAUCCACCAGGACACAGUUGUUCCUGGCCCUGUUCAGUGGGUUAAGGAUCUGCAGUUGCUGUGAGCUGUGAUGUAGGUCGCAGACUCGGCUCGGACCCUGCGUUGCUAUGGCUAUGGCUAUGGCAUAGGCCAGCAGCUACAGCUCCAAUUCAACCCCUAGACACAAGUGCAGCCCUAAAAAGAAAAGAAAACAAAACAAAACAAAAAACCACCAAACCAUUAUAUCUAUGGAAUACUAUACAGCAGUUGAAAUUAAUGAGAUAAACUUUUGGGAGAAAAAAACUUCUCUGCUAACUUAGGUCCAUCUGAGGGAAGGAGGCUGCACAUGAACUGAUAAUAGACAAAUCAAUAGGAGAAAAAUAUAUUAUGAAUGGAGGACCAGCCCCCAGUACUCCCUGUGGUACUCCAGAACAGCUCCCAGAAUAGCUAAGGAUAAAGGAUUAUAUAUCAGCUUAAUAGGAGAGGAGGGGCUUGGGGCUACAAAGGAUGGUGAGAUGUAUUUACACAAUUUUAGGGGGGAUGCCCCAAGGUCAGGCUUCCUGAUUUGAGCUAUGAGGGUGACGGAGGGAGAGUGCUGGAAGCUGGCUCUAGUAGAGCUCUGUUUUGAUCAAUAAAGAAGUUCUAAUGAGAUUUCUUUCAGCAUCUUCUGUAGCUUAGACUUUUCCACUUUGAAGCAUUCUCUGUAUGAGUCUGGUGGAUUGUUGGUUUCUGCAGUACUAAUUUAGAAAAGUCCCAAGACAUGUAGUUGAGGGAAAAAGCAAUUUUUAGGAUAACACAUACAGUGUGAUUGCACUUAUGUUACAGGAAUACAUAAAACAAUACCAUAAAUAUGGGCAUAUGUGCAGGUUGGAAAAGAUUUUUUUAAAAUAACAACAACAUGGAAGGAGAUCACUCAAAGUAACCACAGAGGUUUUUUGCUGGGGAAGAGGAGGAAACCAGGAUGGAUGGUAUUGGUCAUAGGGGACUUUUUAGUUUUCGUUUGUCCUUUAAACGCUUUUCAAGGACAAUAUUUCCAUGUAUUACUUGUGUAAAGUUAAAACCAAACCAAAGCAGCUUCUUGAAGACAGAAAUGUCCAUACACUUCCAAAAGGCCAAGGUCAGUGUUCUGAGCUCCUGGAAUGGAAGGGCACCCUCUUACCGGUGAAAUUUAAUUCCUUUUCCAGUGGCCUGGGCCUUAGGUAGCACUACACUUCCUCAAAGGGCACUCUGAAAACUUUGUGGGAUAUCAGGCCUGAUUAAGACCCUUAAUGGUCCCUGAAAAACACUGAAAAGGUUACGUCUCCUCCCUUCUCUGCAUUUAUAAUUCAAAUUAAAAGUACUAUGAAAACAAAGAAAUCUUACCAAGUCCUGAUUUUUCCUAUGACUAUGGCAAUACUUCUGACAGUUGAAAAAAUAUUAAUCUCUCAAAAAACUUUGACUUAGCUGGAAGCAUGUGCUUAAUUCUUAAUGAUUGGGUGAUCCAUCACCUGGCAAAAUAAGGAAGAAUUAAAAUAAACAAAUAAAAAGUUUUUGGAGUUCCCAUCAUGGCUGAGUGGUGACAAACCCGACUAGUAUUCAUGAGGAAGCAGGUUUGAUCACUGGCCCCACUCAGUGGGUUAAGGACUCGGUGUUGCUGUGAUCUGUGCUGUAGGUCACAGAUGUGGCUCCGAACCCAAAUUGCUGUGGCUGUGGUGUAGGCCGGCGCUGCAGCUUUGAUUCAACCCCUCACCUGAACUUCCAUAUCCUUUGAGUGCAGCCCUAAAAAGACCAAAAUAAACAAAUAUUUGUGCAAAUCCAGGUGUGGGGUGUGAUCUGCAAAGAAUGGCCCUGCUGUUAUGCAGCAACCACCUCUCUCCUGGGCUCACCCAGGGCAACAGGGACUAGCUAGUUGGGUCUUGCCCCUCUAGCAAUGCUUCCCGGCCUGUUUGCCCACAGGGGCUGUGAGUUGAUUCUCCCAGGGUCAGGUCCCCAGUGAGGAGGUUUCUCCAGCUCUUCAGGGAACUUCAGAAUCAAAUUCCCUUAGCUUUUUAUUCAACUGUUCCCUAUGUGUACAGGGAGAGGUAAGGAGACUGUUAAACUUUCACCUUAUCCUUCCCUAUUUAUUAAAAUUAUAUACCUAAGCACUGAUGAAGAAAAGGAUCAGUUUUUUCCACCUGUCUUAGAUUCUCUGGUUAUUAUUUACUUAUUUAUUCCGUGUGUGUGUGUGUGUGUGUGUGUGUGUGUGUGUGUGUGUGCUUUUUAGAGCCACACCUGUGUCAUAUGGAAGUUCCCAGGCUAGGGGUCCAAUUGGAGCUACAGCUGCCGGCUUACGCCACGUCUGCAACCUACGCCACAGCCACAGCAGCGCCGAAUCCUUAACUCACUGAAACCAGGAAUUGAACCCACAUCCUCACGGUUACUAGUCAGGUUCAUUACCACCGAGCCACAACGGGAACUCCUACUUAUAUAUUCUUUACUUUCUUCCUGAUACUGGGGGAAAAGAUUUUUGUCCUAAAGACCAAAAAAAAAAAAAAGCCAAAAAUAAAUAAAUAAAUAAAUAAAUUUCCUAAAGACCAUAGCUGAAGUGGUGGUACACUACCCAGCAAAUGGUUACAUCCAUGGUUUAAUGGAUCAUACAGUAAGUGACUUAGGAAGUGAUUUGCUUUCUUCCACCUCAGAGGAGAUCUGGGGAAAGGCACCUCCUUGGCCUGUGGGGUCUAAAGCCAGGAGGACCUUCAGUGCCCAGAGGACUUGGCCCCUCACCUCUAGCCCCCAUUAUGGCCAGCCACUCCAAGUGAGGCUGGGACUCCAGGGAAGAGGGAAAUGUUACCUGGCCCUCUGUCUUCCUGGGCCAUUCUUUGGCUGCUAUCAGUUGACAGCAAACGCAAACCCUCUGAGCAUAGUUCAGUUUCCUCAGAGUAACAACAUUCACUCCCUUUAAGUCACAAGUGAACUCUGCUUUGAGGAAAAAAGCAGGUAGGGAUUUUCCUCUAUUUUAAUACCCUCAUUUCUUCCUGCAAACAGCUUGAGGGGUGUGAACAUGAAUCUCAUGGGCUAACAAGGCAAAGUUUCAUAUUUACGUUCUCUCUUUCCCUUCCCUUUCCAGAAUCUAGGCCCUGGGGAUUCUUUAUAGGGGGCAGGUAAGCGACCCUUGAAAGAACAGACUUCACCUCCCUUCCCAACUGAGCCAGAAUGGGCCCACAGCUCUGCCAGGGAAGCAACAAAAACUGCUUCUGGCCUCAUCUCCCCAGGGAGGGAACGCGCCUUGGGGUUUGUUUGGUGGCGCAGUCCCGUGUCUGCUAGCAGUCAUAAGUUCUUUGACUCCAGCUAUGUUUAGCUUUGUUUGAUUGUCUUCCAUGGGAACACAACAGCAUUAGUCUCCCUUUUCUCAGCUCUCCAUUUAGAACAACUCAUCACCUAGAACCUGAGCCCCAGAUGAUGAGCCAGAUAAGAUCCAGGUCUGUAAACAUCCAUCAAGAGAAAAAGCAGGAGUUCCUGUCAUGCCUCAGUGGUUAAGGAAUCCGACUAGUACUCAUGGGGACUUGGGUUUGAUCCCUGGCCUUGCUCAGUGGGUUAAGGAUCCGGUGUUGCCCUGAGCUGUAGUGUAGGUCGCAGCCUCGGCUUGGAUCCUGUGUUGCUGUAGCUGUGGCUGUGGCAUAGGCUGGCAGCUGUAGCUCCGAUUCGACCCCGAGCCUGGGAACCUCCAUAAUGCUGCAGGCAUAGCCCUGAAAAGACAAAAGACAAAAAAAAAAACAAAAAAAACAAAAAAAACAAAAAAAAAACGAGAGAGCGAGAGAGAGAAAGCAGACCCCUUCCAUGAAGAGGUGUGGCCUCACCCAUUCCUAGUAACAUGUUUCCUCUCCACCUCCAGAUCCAAAGAUAACACCCCUCUACCUUUCACAAGUUGAUUUUAAAAGCUUUGGCUUAAAAUCUCUCCUGACUCCAGCCUCCUCUGACCUUUCCAUUUGCUGAACUCUCAUAGCAAUUACAUUUGCACCAUUCAAUUUAGCAUUUAAUUGGCUACCGACCUGUAUUGCUUGUACACUGCUUCAUGGUUAACUGGUUGUAGCUUCCCAAGGAGAUGAUUCCUAACAGUAGUAAUAAUGAUAAUAAUAAGAGCAGCAGCAAACAUUUACAUGUGCUGACUUUGUGCAAAUAUACUCUAGGUACUUUCCACAUGUUAAAUUUAUUUUAUUCUCCCAAUGCAACUGAAGAAGUAUUAUUAUAUUAUCAUCUCCUUUUAACAAAUGAAAAAAACUGAGGCCCAGAGAUGUUAAAUAAGUUGUCCAAGGUCACACAAUUAGCAAAUAAAAGAGCCCUGGAUUUGACCUAGGUCAAAGAGCCCUGAGGUCUCUAAAAGAUGUCUUUUAGACUUCUCCUAAAUCUUACCUACCUUACAGUAUCUAACUCUGUGAAUUAGAUUUAUCAUCCCUUUUUUUAAAAAAAAUCACCCCUAUUUUCAGGUGAGAAAACUAAACUUGCCUGAGGUCACACAGCCAGAAACCUGCUCUGAGUCAAACCUAGAUCUCUCUGACUUGAAUGCUUUCAUCUUCUUACCAAAUGGAAACUAUGGAUUUGAUUAACACCUAACUCAAUCAUCAUAUCUCUGAUGCUCACUCAUCUCACAGCACAAUUUCGGAGACUUUCGCAGGCAGGGGGAGGGGGAAGGACACAAAGAGGAUGAGAUAAGGUGCCCAC